RNAcentral lists this ribosomal RNA (253 nucleotides) under uncultured prokaryote. RNAcentral describes it as "partial 16S ribosomal RNA". It matches the Rfam family "Bacterial small subunit ribosomal RNA", at positions 524 to 776 of the family's 1533-position model. The record is from RNAcentral.
GACGAACCGUGCGAACGUUGUUCGGAAUCACUGGGCUUAAAGGGCGCGUAGGCGGGCCGGCCAGUCUGUGGUGAAAUCCCCCGGCUUAACCGGGGAAUUGCCAUGGAUACUGCCGGCCUCGAGGAGGGUAGGGGCAUCUGGAACGAGCGGUGGAGCGGUGAAAUGCGUUGAUAUCGCUCGGAACUCCGGUGGCGAAGGCGAGGUGCUGGACCCUUUCUGACGCUGAUGCGCGAAAGCCAGGGGAGCAAACGGG